RNA transcript from Phacochoerus africanus (Common warthog), 370 nucleotides. It is a transcript of the gene named chromosome 14 C17orf114 homolog, with no coding region annotated. The record is from RefSeq and is a predicted model, not a curated record. NCBI's taxonomy places the organism in Eukaryota, Metazoa, Chordata, Mammalia, Artiodactyla, Suidae. The transcript is spliced from 2 exons.
GCCGCCCUCUGCGCCUCGGGAUCGCGCAGCAGGCUCCGUGCAUCCGCGCGGCUCUGUCCACCCGGCUGUCCCGCGCCAUCGAUCUGCACGUGCCGGGCCGCAGCCCUGUGGGCGCUCGGCGCUGCGCACCCUCCUCCGCGCGGGCGCGGGCCCCCCGGGUCCCCUCCGGCCGCCCAUCCCGCCUGGGCCUCUGGCUGGACUCGCUUUGCAGAAGCGACCGGAGAAAUGCCCGGGCCGGCCCAGCUGGCAUUUGCAGAUGGAAGGAAUGAUGGAAGCCUUGAGGACUGGUGGCCACUAGUUCAUUAACGCCUCGAUCCAGCAGCCCCUCCGGAGCCAGAUCCCAGCCCAGCUGCAGCCCCCGUCACAGCUG